RNAcentral lists this ribosomal RNA (279 nucleotides) under uncultured bacterium. Its description in RNAcentral is "partial 16S ribosomal RNA". It matches the Rfam family "Bacterial small subunit ribosomal RNA", at positions 506 to 784 of the family's 1533-position model. The record is from RNAcentral.
UGCCAGCCGCCGCGGUAAUACGAAGGGAACUAGCGUUGUUCGGAAUUACUGGGCGUAAAGCGCACGUAGGCGGACUGGAAAGUUGGGGGUGAAAUCCCAGGGCUCAACCCUGGAACUGCCUCCAAAACUAUCAGUCUAGAGUUCGAGAGAGGUGAGUGGAAUUCCGAGUGUAGAGGUGAAAUGCGUAGAUAUAGGAAGGAACACCAGUGGCGAAGGCGGCUCACUGGCUCGAUACUGACGCUGAGGUGCGAAAGCGUGGGGAGCAAACCGGAUUAGAUA